Molecule: ribosomal RNA, 110 nt
Filed under: Aotus nancymaae (Ma's night monkey)
Lineage: Eukaryota; Metazoa; Chordata; Mammalia; Primates; Aotidae
Source: RNAcentral
AGCCAGCACCAUAGCAGCCUGAAGGCACCCCAGCCCAGAGGCUAAGCAGGGUCAGGCUUGACUGGGGCUUGGAUGGGGGACCACCUGGGGAGACCAAGAGCUGGAGGCUU